Falco peregrinus (peregrine falcon) is the source of this 4650-nucleotide long non-coding RNA. RefSeq lists it as uncharacterized. The transcript has 9 exons. The record is from RefSeq and is a predicted model, not a curated record. NCBI's taxonomy places the organism in Eukaryota, Metazoa, Chordata, Aves, Falconiformes, Falconidae.
CCACCCACGGGCGCCCUCCCGCCAUCUUGGUUAAGGGCAAUACCUUCCCUCGCCCCCGACGGUGUCACGGGACUUCCGCCCCAGGCCAACAUGUCUGCCCCCCUCGGCCUCCCCGUUAGCGUGGGGGGGAAGGAGCGCAGCCGGGCUGUCGGCACUCUGCCCCGCUGCUCUGGCUGGUGGCGGUUGCGCGGCAGGCCGUGGGGGCGCGGUCAGGCGGGGUGGACGCGGUAUGGAGGCGGUGGCGGGGCGGCCGUGCCCCAGCUCCUCAGCGGGCUGUGGGCGCUCCCUCAGGCCAGCGGGUUCAGCUCCCUGGGGCGCAGCGAGUGCCACGGGCGGGGAGCGCAGGGCUCGGCCUGGGGAAGCGCAGGCUGUGCCAGCCGGGUGACCCCCGCCGCGCCCGCUUGCCGUUGGCGGCGCCGCCGCCUCUUCCCUGCCGCCCCCGUGAGGUGAGGCGGGCUCGGCUGGGCCUCCGCCGCUGCCUCCUGGGUGGCACCGGUCGGUGAGGAAGGGCUGGGGCUUUCGGCCUUUGCCCUGCACCAAGUUAAACUGCCGUUUCUGCCAGCCUGUGGGAAUUUGAUAACUAGUGAUACGGGAGCCUCAGCCAGAAGUGCUGUCACAUAGCGUCCGUGUUCAGCUUUUAGCUGUGGGGCAGCGUGGUGAGGCCUCAAAGCUGGUUCUCUGGUGAUGUUAACAAAGUCUUCUUCUGCCUUGUGUCUAGGUUGCUUAUAGCUGCUGUGAGAGUGGUCCCAGGUGACAGCUGGCUGAGUUGGAGCGGUUGGCAGUUUCACAGUGAUUUUGAACUUUGUUAGGGUCAACAGUAUUAAGGCUUAUGUGGCCAAGUUCUGCUGUCCGUCAUGGGUAACAGCUGAUCUAUGCCUUUAUGAAGUCUAUACAAUGUUUGUGUGUGUCUAAGCUCCUGUGACACUUGAAAAGGAUAAUACUGAAUUUAUGGUUCACUGGGCAAGGUUUCACAGAGGGCUUUCUGCUCAUGCUCCCAGAAACUUGAUUUUUAUGUGCUGGAGGAAAAGUGUCAAAAGUAUUUAGACAUUUUUUUUCCCCCUCCUCAUUUUUAAAAAGCUGUUUAGUUGUGAACUGCCAAUGGAUGAAGACUUCUCAGGCCAACAGGAACCCGCUUGGCUCCUCUUUGUGACAGAACCAGGCCCAGGGAGCACUCCAGCCUGCAUCGAGUUGCUGUUAACGAGCUGAGAAGCAGGCAGGGUAGGGGGGACUUCCCUUUGGAAGGAAGUUACUGAUCUUAAACAGAAGCAAAUGAGGCAUCGACAACUUUAAGACAAAUUUGGAAAAUCAGGGUGAUGGUACAGGAAGUAGAAACAAAGUUGAAGCUGGAGUUUGUGGCCUUGAUCAACAACAAGUUGGAGCAGAAACAUCUCAGAGGUAGAAAAGAUUUUGAGGUGAGAAUUCUGUGCUGUGUUUGAAUCUGUAUAGAGAUCUCUGUACUAGUAAAUGGGCAUAUUGUUCUCGUCAACAGCUGCUCUGGGAUGAGCAGAAACCACCAUACCAGUGGCACAAAUCUAGGUUACAUCAAGAAAGAAGAAAUAGGCAGUGCUGAUGCUCCGUCUGGAUCAGCAAGGGAGAUGCUAAGUCAGAACCCUUCAACACUCACGUGAGCAUUGCGUCCAGGUUUGGAUCUUCGUGGGCAGAAUGCUUGGGAAAGGCAUGUGGAGAAAAGCAGGAAAAUAAAUCACUGCCAUCAAAAAACUUGAGCAGUACUUGAAUCAGAUGUACAAGGACAGCAUAAAACUAACUGAAAGGAUAUUGGCUUUGGAAGAACAAUCUCUUCAGAAGCUCUCUGUCGUCCUCCAUGCCUACUGUAGUGAGUUUCAUCAUGAACACAGACUUCUCAAAGGCUGUCCCAGGUUCAAGCAAGAUUAAUUUAAAGCACUUUUAAUUCAGGGAUAUCCUAACAUGUGCAGAGUUGAGACUCCCUACUAGGAAUACUUUCAGUUAUUUAAAUCGUGUAAUACCUUUUAUAAAGGUGGAAGGCUUGCAUUAAAUUCAGCUGUGAAGUACUGUGCAGUGUUUGAUACUAAGGUGUUCCAGGAUGGUUUACUUGUGGUCACCUGUGCUUGUUCCAGGGCCAACUUAUGUGCAAGCUCAGUGACCGAUUUGUUUUUUGCUUUCAUAGGGAUCAAUACAUACAAAUCAAUAAAGAUAACUGGAUCUGAAACACAAAUUACAGCAUGCCAGAGAGUUACAGGACAAGUGUGUCAUCCUUUUAGUACUUAAAAGAGGCUUAUAAGAAAGAUAGGGACAGACUUUCAGUAGGGCCUGUAGUGAUAGGACAAAGGGUAAUGGCUUUAAGCUGAAAGAGGGUAGAUUUAGAUUUGAUAUUGGGAAGCAAUUCUUUACUGUGAGGGCGGUGGGGCACAGGCACAGGCUGCCCAGAGAAGCUGUGGAUGCCCCAUCCCUGGAAGUGUUCAAGGCCAGGCUGGAUGGAGCUUUGAGUAACCUGGUGUAGUGGGAGGUAUCCCUGCCUAUGGCAGGGUGUUGGAACUAGAUGGUCUUUAAGGUCCCUUCCAACUCAAACCGUUCUCUAAUUCUAUGAUUCUUUACUACUUUAUUGCCAGAACCUUCAGGUGUCAUGCAUUUCAGUCAGGACAGGUAGUGGUCACAAUAAGAGGAGAGUAUCACCUUGAAAUCUGUCACCCAACCUUUGGCUAACUUGUCAUUUUUAGUUGCUUGUGUUGUGUCGUGCUGCUUGUCUUGAGGAGAAUCCCUAGACUGGUAUCCCUUGGGCAGCUGACCUAGGCAUUACUCAGGGUCUGAUGUGACAGGAAUUCAUGCAGAUUGUGCUUCAGACUUGACAAGAGCUGUAGCAACAGCCUGUAAGGAAAGCUUGGCUGUUGACCCUCGCUGUGUAUUCCACUAUGGUGGAAGAAAAUAGGAAGUGAGAGAGGAUGGGUGAAGUUCAUAUCAGGACAGUGUUGUUACGAGGCUGCUUUGCCACCUUGUUCUACAACAUAGUUACAAAUACAAAGAAUCCCAAUCCCCAGGUUUUUUUCACAUAAAAAUGGCACUAUCAGUGGCCAAAGCUCCUUUAAGAGAGUAUGGCGCUGCUGUGGGGCUUGAUUGCUGCUCCAGUGUGAGAGGAAGAGACCAGUAGUGGUUGCGAUUCUAAGCAUAUGUGAUGUCAAAUGAACAGGUAGUGAUAUUAACAGAUAUCUGGCUUUAUUCUCUUGGCUUCCUGCCCAGAUUUGAGGUGCUGCUGCCUGUAUAGCCUCUCUGUGAAAGCUGUGAGACAGAGUGGUGGAAGUGAGAUGAUGUUGCUUGUUGGCAGCACUCUCUUAGUCCCCAGGCACUGUGUCGUAGCUGGAACUCCUGCCUGUGGGCGGGUACCAUGGACCCCAGGGAGGGGGAACGAGGCUAGGCAGGAACAGCAUCUGCUGGGGCUCGAGGGAUUAGUUGAGGGAUAUGGGAGGAGAUCUUUCUGAAUUCCCAACAUUUCACAAUGGAGAAAAAGUCGUACUGGCGAGGGGAGGGUGCGAACUGUAUUGUGAAAGAUGUAAAUAGCUUGACCUGUCUCAGACUUUAUAAUUACCGGAUUUCCACAAGCUGAAUGGAGGAAGAUUUUACUGCAGAGUGGAAAACGAUGAUUAAUAGCACUGAUUAUGAAGAUACUGGGAAGUCAGAUAGCCCCAGGUUAAAGACUACAAUUGCUGACUUGUAAAGUAACAUAACAGGAAGCUUUAUGAACAUGGGCAAGAUAUUACCCUGUGCUCAGACCUUGUAAGAUAAUAAAAAAACUAAUUGAAGAGUUACUUGAGUUGCACAUCACUCACAUUUUAUGCCAAGUAUUAAUUUAAUAACUUCCAGUUCUUAAGCCUUAAGGCUUCAGAAAUUUUUUUUUUUUUUUUCCAAAACUGAGGUCUAGCAAGAAAGGUUAAAAGACUUCUCUCAACUAUAAGAUGUUGGAAAUCAAGUUAUACAAUAGUCUUUCUCACCAAGAUGAUGUUCCAUCUACUAGUGAAGUGCAAAAAAGUGCAUGGUUUUACUUCUGUCUGAGCAAAAGAUACUGGAAUAGCAUCUUAACUUUUUGAGAUAAUUCAACAUUUACAAGCACAAUUUGAAAUAUUGUCCAACAGUUCUGUAAAUCAACUCCUAUUUUCAAAUGUAUGUUGUGAACAAAAAAGAAAAAAAGUGAAAUAAAAAAUAUUGUGUCCAGAUUAAAUCACAACCAUAUUCUCUCUGCUUAUCUAGCAUUUGUAGCUAGAUAAAUGGAACCUGGUAGGGUGAAAAAUUACUUGGGUAAUUACAGUAAACUUGUGCUUAAAUUUAAAAAUCAUUCUUUUAAGUUUUAUCAUUCCAAAUACUGACCCUGAAAAGCUAAGCCAUAAACUUAGUAACUGUGACGACUUCUCUGAGGAAUGAUCUGGUGAAUGCCAGUCAGUGAGUUUGUUACACGCUGUUGUAGCCUGCUAACGCUGCUAGAAAAGAGAAGCUGUGUGAUACAAAGCUUGAAAUGGAAAUACUUAUUUUCCUACAGGCUACUAGGCUAAAGGUUCUCAGUCUUUUUUUCCUGUGCUGUUGUACUUUAUUCUCACUGCAAACUGAAGCAGAUAAAGUUGCCCUUGAUUAUUUGAGACUUUUUUUGAGAAGUCUCCACAAAAUAAACCAUCAGUAACACUGUCA